AGCUCGCUGGCAGAGACUUUCU
RNAcentral lists this microRNA (22 nucleotides) under Anolis carolinensis (green anole). RNAcentral describes it as "aca-miR-5436-5p". The record is from miRBase by way of RNAcentral. Lineage: Eukaryota; Metazoa; Chordata; Lepidosauria; Squamata; Anolidae.